AUCCAUUUCUAAAGAAGAAGGAAUUGUUCAAUCUUUCCCUGCUGAAAGUGUACUUGGAUCAAAAUGGAGAGGUAGCAGCAGAUCUAAAGAUCAACAGUAGGGUAGUUCUCCUCAAGGAGGAUCCCAUCAACAAGGAAUUGGGGAGUUUUGAAAGGCAGCAACUGAUAAUCAACCAAGAUGCUUUGUCACAGCUAAAGUUGCUCAACCAGUCUCUGCCUCAGUCCAAAUGUGUGGAAAAAUGUCAGCCUGGAUUUGUGAAGAAGGCUCGAGAAGGAGAGCCAUUUUGCUGCUAUGACUGCGUUCCUUGUCCAGAGGGGACCAUCUCCACUCAGGAAGAUACUGAAAAAUGCACCAAAUGUGUAGAUGAACAAUAUCCAACUAAGAACAGAGUCCGGUGUAUCCCAAAAAGAAUAACCUUCCUAUCUUAUGAAGAACAUCUGGGCAUAAUCCUUGUGUUCUUUGCUCUACUCUUGUUCCUAACCACAAGCCUUGUUUUAAUCAUAUUCCUUAAAUAUUUAGAAACUCCCAUUGUCAAAGCCAACAACCGAGACCUCUCCUUCAUCCUCCUGAUCUCCCUCCUGCUCUGUUUUUUGUCCUCCUUUCUCUUCA
This is a non-coding RNA of Pantherophis guttatus, 609 nucleotides long. The record is from RefSeq and is a predicted model, not a curated record. NCBI's taxonomy places the organism in Eukaryota, Metazoa, Chordata, Lepidosauria, Squamata, Colubridae.